Molecule: ribosomal RNA, 458 nt
Filed under: uncultured bacterium
Lineage: Bacteria
Description: partial 16S ribosomal RNA
Rfam family: Bacterial small subunit ribosomal RNA
Source: RNAcentral
GAUAAACGCUGGCGGCGUGCAUGAGACAUGCAAGUCGAACGAAGGAUCGGGCUUGCUCGAUCCUUAGUGGCGGACGGCUGAGUAACGCGUAGGUGACCUACCCCGAAGUGGGGAAUAACUGCCCGAAAGGGUGGCUAAUACCGCAUGUGGUCGCACGUUCAUUCGUGCGAGUAAAGCCGCAAGGCGCUUCGGGAGGGGCCUGCGUCCGAUUAGCUCGUUGGUGGGGUAAUGGCUUACCAAGGCGACGAUCGGUAGGUGGUCUGAGAGGACGAUCACCCAGACUGGGACUGAGACACGGCCCAGACUACUACGGGAGGCAGCAGUCGGGAAUUUUGCUCAAUGGGGGAAACCCUGAAGCAGCAACGCCGCGUGAGGGAUGAAGGCCUUCGGGUUGUAAACCUCUUUUGUCAGGGACGAUGAUGACGGUACCUGGCGAAUAAGCCACGGCUAACUACGUG